Molecule: long non-coding RNA, 1733 nt
Filed under: Salmo salar (Atlantic salmon)
Lineage: Eukaryota; Metazoa; Chordata; Actinopteri; Salmoniformes; Salmonidae
Description: lncRNA (ENSSSAG00000099219.1)
Source: RNAcentral
UUUGAAAUCUGACAAAGUGGUUGCAUAAAGGAGUAGAUUAUCUCUAAUUCUUUAAAUAAUUGUUAUAUAUUUUUUUUCAACGUUUUAUGAGUUCUUCCGUAAAUUAAAUGUGUCUUUUCACCGGAUGUUAUGGGGAGAAAACAUUUUCUGAACGUCACGCACCAAUGUAAAAAUUGUUUUUUUUGGAUGUAAAUAUAAACUUGAUCGAACUAAAAAUGCAUGUAUUGUCUAACAUGAUGUCCUAGGAGUGUCAUCUGAUUCAGAUUGUCAAAGUCUGAGGUCGGUAACGUCAACAGUGAGGACAAUCCCAGCCUGUCUCUCUCCUUCCACACUGAGUCCAAACCUACAGUCACUGGGUCCUGAUUGUGACAGUGGAGCCCAGUUUGCACUGCAGGAUCCAGAGAUGGAAUCAGUGAAGCUGGAAGACUGCAGUCAAACACUGGAGCUGAAUGUCAACAUUAAAGAAGAAGAGGAGGAGGAGAUUGUCUCAACAUGGUCUCCAUUCUCUACAUCCAGAGAGCAACAGCAGGAAGAUCACAGAGCUAAGAGGUCUCACCACUGCCCACAUUCUCCUCUGUCAGAAACAACUUGAAGCACUCUGCCUCAGAUGGAAAUGGACUCCAGACUGGGACUCAUCAAAACAAACAGCAGGGCCAGGAGGGGUGAAAUGACUAGCGGCCUUCCAGCUACCACAGAACUCCUGUACUUCAUCCACUGUCGGUCUCCCUCCAUCACCACCAGCAUCUUCAAAGGGACCUGGUACUUGGUCAGUGGACAAGGGAACCUCAGAUUCAGGGUUCUCAAUGGCUACAAGGUUGGGGGGGGGGGGCAGCUCCUCACUGUCAGAAUCUGAUUCCUGACUUUCAGACUCAGACUCAUUGUCAGAAUUGUAAAAAAAAUCUCCAGAAUUUCCACAUUUGUGAGUUGUCUCCUUUUGAAAGACAUUGCUAAUGCUACAGCUUAGCUCACUAGCUACAUACAUAAACAACAACACUGAAUGGCUCAGAGUGAGAGGGGACGUGAUUGACUGCCGGCGUGCGUCACUUGUAUCAAUAAAUCACCAUCAGAAAAUGUUUUGUGAGGUAAUUAUUUGUGUAUUUACUGUUUUAUUCACAUGUUUUCAGUUCUGGGUGACAAAUCAUGCAUUCCGAUUCUUGCAUAGAUUGUAAUGGGCACAUAUUAUGUGUGUAAAAUACUUAUUUGAAGGUUAUACUGAUUAUGAUGAGCUAUGUGUAUGGAGCCAUGUUUGUUGACAUACAAUGCAUUCUGGGUUUCACGUAAUCAUCCGUUUGACCAAAGAUGUUAUAACAAAAUGAGGUGAGUAAGAGUUCACUCAUUUUUUGAGGACUUCUGGAAAUGAAUGGUGGGAUGUGAACGACGGUAGAUGACACACCCCUUCAACACUAUAAACAGACCGAACUCAUCUUGUCUUUUAUUAUCUUCGGUUUCUGUGAGGGAAAAAUGCAUGGCUGCGCGCUGAAACUAAUCGUCGGAUUACUGUCGAUUUAUAGGAAGUGUUUUACCUAAUUAUUUCGAUCAAUGGUGAGCUCACCCCGUGAUGUGAUUAAUUAUACAUAGUAAUUGCAAUUAGCUAAUUCAUAUUGUAGUUUACAUCAGCCGAGAGUUAGAAAAUAUGACUGCUUGUGUUGGGUCAAUCUUUCUUCAGUUAGCGCUACGACAAAUGUAGCCUACAUUUUUUCCGGUUAGGAUGAUUGUGUUGUGCUAUAUAUAUA